RNAcentral lists this ribosomal RNA (440 nucleotides) under uncultured bacterium. Its description in RNAcentral is "partial 16S ribosomal RNA". It matches the Rfam family "Bacterial small subunit ribosomal RNA", at positions 338 to 795 of the family's 1533-position model. The record is from RNAcentral.
CCUACGGGUAGCAGCAGUGGGGAAUAUUGCACAAUGGGGGAAACCCUGAUGCAGCGACGCCGCGUGAGUGAAGAAGUAUUUCGGUAUGUAAAGCUCUAUCAGCAGGGAAGAAAAUGACGGUACCUGAUUAAGAAGCCCCGGCUAACUACGUACCAGCAGCCGCGGUAAUACGUAGGGGGCAAGCGUUAUCCGGAUUUACUGGGUGUAAAGGGGGCGUAGACGGUUAUGUAAGUCUGGAGUGAAAGCCCGGGGCCCAACCCCGGGACUGCUUUGGAAACUGUGUAGCUGGAGUACAGGAGGGGCAGGGGGAAUUCCUGGUGUAGCGGUGAAAUGCGUAGAUAUCAGGAGGAACACCGGCGGCGAAGGCGGCCUGCUGGACUGAUACUGACGUUGAGGAUCGAAAGCGUGGGGAGCAAACAGGAUUAGAUACCCGAGUAGUC